GACGAACGCUGGCGGCGUGCUUAACACAUGCAAGUCGUACGGUAAGGCCCUUUCGGGGGUACACGAGUGGCGAACGGGGGAGUAACACGUGAGUAACCUGCCCACAACUUUGGGAUAACGCUAGGAAACUGGUGCUAAUACUGGAAAUGUGCUCCUGCUGCAUGGUGGGGGUUGGAAAGCUCCGGCGGUUGUGGAUGGACUCGCGGCCUAUCAGCUUGUUGGUGGGGUAGUGGCCUACCAAGGCGGCGACGGGUAGCCGGCCUGAGAGGGUGACCGGCCACCUUGGGUCUGAGAUACGGCCCAGACUCCUACGGGAGGCAGCAGUGGGGAAUCUUGCACAAUGGGCGCCAGCCUGAUGCAGCAGCGCCGCGUGCGGGAUGACGGCCUUCGGGUUGUAAACCGCUUUCAGCAGGGACGAAGCUUUUUGUGACGGUACCUGCAGAAGAAGCACCGGCUAACUACGUG
This 465-nucleotide ribosomal RNA is filed under the name uncultured bacterium. RNAcentral's name for it is "partial 16S ribosomal RNA". It matches the Rfam family "Bacterial small subunit ribosomal RNA", at positions 28 to 507 of the family's 1533-position model. The record is from RNAcentral.